This 275-nucleotide ribosomal RNA is filed under the name uncultured bacterium. Its description in RNAcentral is "partial 16S ribosomal RNA". It matches the Rfam family "Bacterial small subunit ribosomal RNA", at positions 399 to 691 of the family's 1533-position model. The record is from RNAcentral.
GCGUGAGUGAAGAAGGCCUUAGGGUUGUAAAGCUCUUUUGCCCGGGAAGAUAAUGACGGUACCGGGAGAAUAAGCCCCGGCAAACUUCGUGCCAGCAGCCGCGGUAAUACGAAGGGGGCUAGCGUUGUUCGGAUUUACUGGGCGUAAAGCGCACGUAGGCGGAUUGUUAAGUCGGGGGUGAAAUCCUGGAGCUCAACUUCAGAAUUGCCUUCGAUACUGGCUUUCUAGAGGCUGGAAGAGGUUAGUGGAAUUCCCAGUGUAGAGGUGAAAUUCGU